GAUGAACGCUGGCGGCGUGCCUAAUACAUGCAAGUCGAGCGAACGGACGAGAAGCUUGCUCCCCUGAUGUUAGCGGCGGACGGGUGAGUAACACGUGGAUAACCUACCUAUAAGACUGGGAUAACUUCGGGAAACCGGAGCUACUACCGGAUAAUAUUUUGAACCGCAUGGUUCAAAAGUGAAAGACGGUCUUGCUGUCACUUAUAGAUGGAUCCGCGCUGCAUUAGCUAGUUGGUAAGGUAACGGCUUACCAAGGCAACGAUGCGUAGCCGACCUGAGAGGGUGAUCGGCCACACUGGAACUGAGACACGGUCCAGACUCCUACGGGAGGCAGCAGUAGGGAAUCUUCCGCAAUGGGCGAAAGCCUGACGGAGCAACGCCGCGUGGGUGAUGAAGGUCUUCGGAUCGUAAAACUCUGUUAUUAGGGAAGAACAUAUGUGUAAGUAACUGUGCACAUCUUGACGGUACCUAAUCAGAAAGCCACGGCUAACUACGUG
Molecule: ribosomal RNA, 497 nt
Filed under: uncultured bacterium
Lineage: Bacteria
Description: partial 16S ribosomal RNA
Rfam family: Bacterial small subunit ribosomal RNA
Source: RNAcentral